This 426-nucleotide ribosomal RNA is filed under the name uncultured bacterium. Its description in RNAcentral is "bacterial SSU rRNA". It matches the Rfam family "Bacterial small subunit ribosomal RNA", at positions 33 to 503 of the family's 1533-position model. The record is from RNAcentral.
UACGCUGGCGGCACGCCUAACACAUGCAAGUCGAACGAAGUAGCAAUACUUAGUGGCAGACGGGUGAGUAACAUGUAGGUAUCUGCCCUUUGGCCUGGAAUAACACGAGGAAACUUGUGCUAAUACCGGAUAAGUCUUUACGGAGAAAGCUUUAUGCACCAUUGGAUGAGCCUGCACUUGAUUAGUUUGUUGGUGGGGUAAUGGCCUACCAAGACUGUGAUCAAUAGCUGAUUUGAGAGGAUGAUCAGCCACAUUGGGACUGAGACACGGCCCAAACUCCUACGGGAGGCAGCAGUGGGGAAUCUUGCACAAUGGAGGAAACUCUGAUGCAGCGAUGCCGCGUGAGUGAAGAAGGCCCUUGGGUUGUAAAGCUCUUUCGUCGGGGAAGAAAAUGACUGUACCCGAAUAAGAAGGUCCGGCUAACUU